AGAAUCCUGCCCGGCUCGACUUGUUGCGGUUUAUAUGAUCCUACUAAUCAAUCAUUGGGAGCUUGGCGUCCGCCGGCAGAUUGCAGACCUCCCCGUUAGGGCUCGACCCUAGAGGCUCGAUGAGGAAGCGCGAAACCGGCGGCAGGGCACCCACCUGUCCGUAAGGGUAGGUUUGAUUAGCCGCAGACGACCGGGCGGGAUUUUC
This 205-nucleotide non-coding RNA is filed under the name Candidatus Faecalibacterium intestinipullorum. RNAcentral describes it as "6S RNA". It matches the Rfam family "6S / SsrS RNA". From Rfam's summary of the family: E. coli 6S RNA was the first non coding RNA to be sequenced, but its function was unknown until recently. It consists of 184 nucleotides that fold into an extended hairpin structure with a large single-stranded internal bulge. The record is from RNAcentral. RNAcentral also lists the same sequence under 1 other name. Lineage: Bacteria; Bacillati; Bacillota; Clostridia; Eubacteriales; Oscillospiraceae.